Tetranychus urticae (two-spotted spider mite) is the source of this 1020-nucleotide long non-coding RNA. RefSeq lists it as uncharacterized. The record is from RefSeq and is a predicted model, not a curated record. Lineage: Eukaryota; Metazoa; Arthropoda; Arachnida; Trombidiformes; Tetranychidae.
UAUCGAUGUUUGAGUGUCUUCAUUUUAUCGAUAUGUCAGUCGACUCGUAAAAGCCUGACUGUUGUGUCAAAUUACAUAAAUCGAUAAUUUGUUAAUCAACUAAAAUAUACCAAUUUAAAUAGCAACUUAACAUAAGAUGCAAAUCAGCUGACAAGUGAUUCAAUUUUUCUCACAAUGUCUUUUGUCAGUCUGGUAAACAUAACUGUGCUAAUGAAACCAACGUUGAAAUGAUUUCCUCUUCUCUCUUCACAAACUUUAAUUGAUCUCUGGUUCGAUUAGUUAACACAAACAUUGAUACAGUAAAGAUACAAUAAAGAUACAAUCUUAUUGAGCCUAAGGAUUUAGACGACUGCAUUAAAAUGGAUUGACUUAUAAACGUUUCUUAAAUUAGUGACUGAUAUUCACUUUCCUUCAACCAAAUUGGGAAUCAAUUAAGGAUCAAAGUCACCUAAAGUUUACAUUUAUUUUCUGGUUGUAACUGUAAAUACCAAACCAAAUAGCUUCAGCCAAGUGAUCUGGACAUGAAUUUGAUAAAAAAAAUUUAAUCAUAUCAUGAAUAUUUCAACAUCAACUAAUCAUCAUCAUCAACAUUAUGAUAUCCUAAAGGAUUUCAUUUCUAUCUCAUCUUAAUUUGGACAACUUGAUAAGUUUAACGUCAGUCAACUUCAACAUUUAACAUUCACAUGUAUUAUAAAUUGGUUUUACCUUAUUUUCUGGCAUUACAACCAUUAAUUAUUUAGACAAAUCGAUCUCAUUUCAAAUUAAACGUUUCUACUCUUUUAUCAACACUGACAAAUUGAUUUUGAAUAUAAAAGACUUUUAUUUUUUGCUUCCCUCAUACUGACACUGAUAAUUUUUACAUGAAACUCAGCUAAUCUAUUAUCCAAACCAUUUACGAUUAUUAAAUGAAUCUUUCAAGUUAUCAUUCAUUCCAAUCAACCCAUCCUGGCUUUAAUUGUAUCAAUUUAAAUGUAUCAAUCAAUUCAACAAACAGGAUGACGAUUUAUUAAACAAACAAAA